CACCAAUUCAUAUGCGGAAAACGUAAUAAGAUUUAAAAAUUUUAAAUUGUUUAAAUCAACUUAUUAAGAAAGUUUUACAUUUUCUUCUAGACCUAGGAUGUCUUUGCAUGUCCUGGUGUUAUCUUCGGUACUGAGAUCGAAAGUUAUUUGGAUCUUAAACGAUAGUCAUGACGAUUGCUUUUCCUUUUUAACAAGGUAAGUAACCCAAUGGAGCU
RNAcentral lists this small nuclear RNA (215 nucleotides) under Naumovozyma castellii. Its description in RNAcentral is "partial RNase MRP RNA". Lineage: Eukaryota; Fungi; Ascomycota; Saccharomycetes; Saccharomycetales; Saccharomycetaceae. The record is from RNAcentral.